Molecule: ribosomal RNA, 274 nt
Filed under: uncultured bacterium
Lineage: Bacteria
Description: partial 16S ribosomal RNA
Rfam family: Bacterial small subunit ribosomal RNA
Source: RNAcentral
AGACAGAGGUGGCAAGCGUUGUUCGGAUUUACUGGGCGUAAAGAGUUCGUAGGCGGUUGUGUGUGUCAGAUGUGAAAUCCCAGGGCUUAACCCUGGAAUUGCAUUUGAAACUGCAGGACUUGAGGACAGGAGGGGGAAGUGGAAUUCCCGGUGUAGCGGUGAAAUGCGUAGAUAUCGGGAAGAACACCGGUGGCGAAGGCGGCUUCCUGGACUGUCCCUGACGCUGAGGAACGAAAGCGUGGGUAGCAAACAGGAUUAGAAACCCGUGUAGUCC